AACAGGAACAAAUUUGCCUCUGCAGACUAGGAUGAUAAAAACACAGUGAUAUCCACCUCUUCUAAACACAGCUGAAUUAAGAACCCUAGGACAAGGGUCAUAGUGGAUUGUUCAGAGAUCUGCUAAGGGCUUGUGGCCUCCUUGGGAUUCAGAGCAUUGGAUCGGGAUCGCAUCAGAAUAUUUGAUAAGGAAGACCAUCAAAGGAGGCCACUCAUCACGAGGCAAUGAGGAAUGGUGGCCAGGACCAGUGGUAGAGAAGCCCAGAGUCUGUGCACGCUGGACUUAGGGAGAGGCGGGGUAAGAUCCCAGCAGAGGAGAUCCAUCCACCCUCAGACCAGAAUGAAGCCAGUGGUUGCUGAGAAGCAGGAGUGAGAAGUUGCUGCAGCCCAGAACUAUGUCUGCUCAACAAAUGCCCCUUUUCGGGUGGGUUUCUGUUUCUUGCAACCAAAUGUGCCCCAAUUGAAAGCAUACUCAAAAGCUGCCCAUGAUGCCCAGAUGCUGGUCUCAUCUACGUCCUCAUCCUCUUUCAGCCUCUCUGCAGCAUCUGAGACUAUCCCCUGAACUCCCACCUCCAGGCUCUUUCCACCUAACGCUUUUCUAACGAGCUGCUGCAAAAUCCCACUCUCUUUCUCCUUCUCCAGUUCCUCCUCCCACCCUCUCAGUGAAGCCAACCAGGAGCUUCAGGAUUUGGUGUUCUAGCCUGGUCUUCUCCUUGGAGAGUCCAUUGAUUCCCAUGGCUUUCUCUAUUGAGUCCAGGGAAAAGACUCUAAACCUAAAGCACCUGCCCUGACGUCUCACUCCUGCACCAACUGCAUUUUUAAAUCUCCCAUCAAUGUCUCUGCUUAGAUGAUUCAGCCUCUUGAAAUGUCCACUUAACAUCUUUCCCUCAAGCCAAUCCCUCUCUUGCCUUGCUCAUCAGAUUUAGAGGACCUCGUUCUCUCAGUCAUGUGGCCUGGGACCACUGUGGUCAUUCUACACCUCAUGGUGACUGCCUGCUUAGCAUCACUUAAUAAGUGUUUGCUGAAUGAAAUGAAGAAAUGAAUCUUGUAUUUUUCCCUCUGUUUCAUUCCUCUUCUCUCUCACUGAUAGAGUUUGGAGGUUUGUCUCCUCUAAAUCUCAUUUUGAAAUGUGAUCCCCAGCAUUGGAAGUGGGGCCUGGUGGGAGGUCAUGGGGGCGGAUCCCUCAGGAAUGGUUUGGUGCCUUCCUUGUAGUAAGCAGUGGCUUCUCACUCUAUUAGUUCACAUGACAGCUGGUUGUUUAAAAGGGGCUGGAGGCUAGGUGAG
RNAcentral lists this long non-coding RNA (1283 nucleotides) under Homo sapiens (human). RNAcentral describes it as "HSALNT0360376". The record is from RNAcentral. Lineage: Eukaryota; Metazoa; Chordata; Mammalia; Primates; Hominidae.